CGCGUAGGCGGAAGAUCAAGUCAGGGGUGAAAGGCCUGGGCUCAACCCGGGAACUGCCUUUGAAACUGGUUUUCUAGAGUACGGGAGAGGAUGGCGGAAUUCCCAGUGUAGAGGUGAAAUUCGUAGAUAUUGGGAAGAACACCGGUGGCGAAGGCGGCCAUCUGGCCCGGUACUGACGCUAAGGCGCGAAAGCGUGGGGAGCAAACAGGAUUAGAUACCCUGGUAGUCC
This 229-nucleotide ribosomal RNA is filed under the name uncultured bacterium. RNAcentral's name for it is "partial 16S ribosomal RNA". It matches the Rfam family "Bacterial small subunit ribosomal RNA", at positions 568 to 796 of the family's 1533-position model. The record is from RNAcentral.